Molecule: long non-coding RNA, 204 nt
Filed under: Homo sapiens (human)
Lineage: Eukaryota; Metazoa; Chordata; Mammalia; Primates; Hominidae
Description: non-protein coding lnc-WBP1-2:1
Source: RNAcentral
GCGGCUUGACACAGGGUUGGUACGUAGCGUCUGUCCUGGGCGUUGGUCCACCGGGAUUGCGUUUAUCUGGCGACCCCAUGGAGUUCACAGGCUCGGAAAAACCAAUCUAACGUUGGGCUGAGGCAUGAGAAUCGUUUGAACCCGGGAGGCGGAGGUUGCAGUGAGCCGAGAUUGUGCCACUGCACUCCAGCCUGGGCGACAGAG